UACGUAGGGUGCAAGCGUUGUCCGGAAUUAUUGGGCGUAAAGAGCUCGUAGGCGGUCUGUUGCGUCGGCUGUGAAAACCCGAGGCUCAACCUCGGGCCUGCAGCCGAUACGGGCAGACUAGAGGUAUGCAGGGGAGAACGGAAUUCCUGGUGUAGCGGUGAAAUGCGUAGAUAUCGUAAGGAAGACCAGUGGCGAAGGCGGGUCUCUGGACAGUUCCUGACGCUGAGGCACGAAGGCCAGGGGAGCAAACGGG
This 253-nucleotide ribosomal RNA is filed under the name uncultured bacterium. RNAcentral describes it as "partial 16S ribosomal RNA". It matches the Rfam family "Bacterial small subunit ribosomal RNA", at positions 524 to 776 of the family's 1533-position model. The record is from RNAcentral.